RNAcentral lists this small nuclear RNA (90 nucleotides) under Prolemur simus (greater bamboo lemur). The record is from RNAcentral. Lineage: Eukaryota; Metazoa; Chordata; Mammalia; Primates; Lemuridae.
GUGCUUGCUUUGGCAGCACAUAUUCUGAGAAGAUUAGCAUGGCCCCUGCACAAGGAUGACUCACAAUUUCAUGUAGCAUUCCAUAAAUUA